This is an RNA transcript of Tribolium madens (black flour beetle), 880 nucleotides long. It is a transcript of the gene named protein drumstick, with no coding region annotated. The record is from RefSeq and is a predicted model, not a curated record. Lineage: Eukaryota; Metazoa; Arthropoda; Insecta; Coleoptera; Tenebrionidae. The transcript has 4 exons.
CAGAGGGGCACGAGGGAGCCCUGAGCUACACACUACUGCUAGGAUCAUUGGGCUACCAUCUCUAGUUUGGUACAGAAGCAAAACUCGGAAGAAGAUUGUGUUCCAUCAUCAUCAUCAUCAUCGAGUUGGUGAAAGCGCAGUUGCAGGAAUCCGAGAAAAUCCCGGAUCGCUGAGUAAUAAAACACUGAGAUAAGAAUCAGACACGAUGUUUGCGAUAAUCCAGAUCGAGAACGACGUUAGUGGGCGCGAGUUCCGUAGAAAAAUGCGCCCGAAAUACGAAUUCAUCUGCAAAUAUUGCCAACGAAAAUUCACCAAAUCCUACAAUCUGAUGAUCCACGAACGGACACACAAAAGCCCCGAACUCACCUUUUCCUGCGAGGUGUGCGGCAGGGGAUUCAAACGCCAGGAUAACCUCAAACAGCACAGAUGUAAUCAAUGCAUAUGGCGGUAAAGGGCUCCUGACCGAUGGCUAAUUCCGGCCCUGUUCUUCUUUCAUUGCAAUGACAAUACACUACUCAGCUACGGCCUACAGCUGUUUUUCAAGAUUUUAAUUAAUCUCGAAUUAAUUACACAAUUUUCCUAUUAUCGCAGUAUUCACCCAAAAUUGCAUUUUGUACAUAAAACGUAAGUUAAUUAAGUUAAUUACUUUGAAAUUUAGCCAGACUACAGUCUAGUCUAAAAAUCCAUUAAUUAAAUUGUGCAAUUUCGACUUGUACUUCAUUUUUUUAAUAACGUACUAAACAAUGUAAAUUAACUGUGUUUUUUUUGCCGUGGCAAAAAAAACAACAGUGUUUAGUUUUAAGCUCGCAAUAUUUAGUUUAGGUUUUUUUGUAAGCAUUAUAUUUAUUAACUAGAGCUUUAUAUUAAAUGAUGAAACAAU